RNAcentral lists this ribosomal RNA (464 nucleotides) under uncultured bacterium. RNAcentral's name for it is "partial 16S ribosomal RNA". It matches the Rfam family "Bacterial small subunit ribosomal RNA", at positions 28 to 506 of the family's 1533-position model. The record is from RNAcentral.
GACGAACGCUGGCGGCGUGCUUAACACAUGCAAGUCGAACGGAAAGGCCCCCUUGUGGGGUACUCGAGUGGCGAACGGGUGAGUAACACGUGAGUAACCUACCCUUGACUUUGGGAUAACUUCAGGAAACUGGGGCUAAUACCGGAUAGGAGCUCCUGCUGCAUGGUGGGGGUUGGAAAGUUUCGGCGGUUGGGGAUGGACUCGCGGCUUAUCAGCUUGUUGGUGGGGUAGUGGCUCACCAAGGCUUUGACGGGUAGCCGGCCUGAGAGGGUGACCGGCCACAUUGGGACUGAGAUACGGCCCAGACUCCUACGGGAGGCAACAGUGGGGAAUAUUGCACAAUGGGCGGAAGCCUGAUGCAGCAACGCCGCGUGCGGGAUGACGGCCUUCGGGUUGUAAACCGCUUUCGCCUGUGACGAAGCGUGAGUGACGGUAAUGGGGAAAGAAGCACCGGCUAACUACGU